RNAcentral lists this long non-coding RNA (939 nucleotides) under Zostera marina. Its description in RNAcentral is "long non-coding RNA (ZMAR_LNC001166)". Lineage: Eukaryota; Viridiplantae; Streptophyta; Magnoliopsida; Alismatales; Zosteraceae. The record is from RNAcentral.
CCACCAAAUAAAAAACCCCCAAAUCAUAAACCCCAAAAUCAUAAACCCCCAAAUUAAAAACAACAAAAAAAGAAGAGAAGAAGAUGAACAUAAUGUAAACCAUACCUUGAAGAUAAUUUCGACAAUGACCGGAGAGAAGUGGCCGGCCGGAUUAGAAGAAGGUAUAACUAUAUAAAUGAAAACAAGAAGAUGAAGAAGAUGAUUUAGAUAACAAAAACAAAAACAAGAUUACAACUAAAAGAAGAUGAAGAUGAAUAACAUACCUUGAGGAAACUUCGAAGAUCACCGGAGAUGGAUGAUGAAAAAUCGCCGGAGAGAUUUGGGGAUAGUUAGAGUGGAGUGGGAGAAGUGAAGAGGAUUUUGGGAGGAAAUAAAAUGAAACGAUUCUGGAAUUUUUUUCUUAUAUAAAAAAUUUCCGGCGGCCAGGCCGCCGGGAAACACUAAAGUUUAGUUUGACUGUACGGGGGACCACGACGGCGCAAGUUGUAAAUUUAGGGUUUUCCAAAAAUUUCUGGCGGCCAGGCCGCUGGCUACUGAAAAAAACAAGCGGGAAAAAGUAUCCAGCGGCCAGGCCGCCGGGAAUUUUUCUCCCGACCGUUGAGGGUUUUAGUAUCCAGCGGCCAGGCCGCCGGGAAUUUUUCUCCCGACCGUUGAGGGUUUUAGUAUCCAGCGGCCAGGCCGCCGGGAAUUUUUCUCCCGACCGUUGAGGGUUUUAGUAUCCAGCGGCCAGGCCGCCGGGAAUUUUUCUCCCGACCGUUGUUGAAUUGGAGCUGGCGGCCAGGCCGCUGGAAUUUUUUACAAAAAAAUAUUCCGUCGGCCUAGCCGCCAGAAAUUUUCUCUCAUUUACGAGGGAAAAUUAUGCAGGCGGACAAGUGUAAGAUUCCGGCGGCCAGGCCGACGAAAGUAUCUACCGGCGGCCAGGCCGCCGGGAGAUGGGCG